Molecule: ribosomal RNA, 487 nt
Filed under: uncultured bacterium
Lineage: Bacteria
Description: bacterial SSU rRNA
Rfam family: Bacterial small subunit ribosomal RNA
Source: RNAcentral
AUUGAACGCUGGCGGCAUGCCUUACACAUGCAAGUCGAACGGCAGCACGGGAGCAAUCCUGGUGGCGAGUGGCGAACGGGUGAGUAAUAUAUCGGAACGUGCCCAGUCGUGGGGAUAACGUAGCGAAAGCUACGCUAAUACCGCAUACGAUCUAAGGAUGAAAGCGGGGGAUCGCAAGACCUCGCGCGAUUGGAGCGGCCGAUAUCAGAUUAGGUAGUUGGUGAGGUAAAGGCUCACCAAGCCAACGAUCUGUAGCUGGUCUGAGAGGACGACCAGCCACACUGGAACUGAGACACGGUCCAGACUCCUACGGGAGGCAGCAGUGGGGAAUUUUGGACAAUGGACGCAAGUCUGAUCCAGCCAUUCCGCGUGCAGGAUGAAGGCCCUCGGGUUGUAAACUGCUUUUGUACGGAACGAAACGGUGAGCUCUAAUACAGUUUGCUAAUGACGGUACCGUAAGAAUAAGCACCGGCUAACUACGUGCCAG